Molecule: ribosomal RNA, 245 nt
Filed under: uncultured bacterium
Lineage: Bacteria
Description: partial 16S ribosomal RNA
Rfam family: Bacterial small subunit ribosomal RNA
Source: RNAcentral
UACGUAGGGGGCAAACGUUGUUCGGAAUUAUUGGGCGUAAAGAGCACGUAGGCUGUUGCGUAAGUUGGCGGUAAAAUCCCCGGGCUUAACCCGGGACCUGCCGCCAAGACUGCGCGACUGGAGUUGAGCAGAGGCAGCGGGAAUUCCUGGUGUAGGGGUGAAAUCUGUAGAUAUCAGGAGGAAUACCGAUGGCGAAGGCAAGCUGCUGGGCGAAGACUGACGCUGAGGUGCGAAAGCCAGGGGAG